GAUGAAGAACGUAGUGAAAUGCGAUAAGUAAUGUGAAUUGCAGAAUUCAGUGAAUCAUCGAAUCUUUGAACGCACAUUGCGCCCCCUGGUAUUCCGGGGGGCAUGCCUGUUCGAGCGUCAUUUCACCACUCAAGCCUCGCUUGGUAUUGGGCAACGCGGUCCGCCGCGUGCCUCAAAUCGACCGGCUGGGUCUUCUGUCCCCUAAGCGUUGUGGAAACUAUUCGCUAAAGGGUGUUCGGGAGGCUACGCCGUAAAACAACCCCAUUUCUAAGGUUGACCUCGGAUCAGGUAGGGAUACCCGCUGAACUUAUCAUAUCAAUAAGCGGAGGA
RNAcentral lists this unclassified non-coding RNA (330 nucleotides) under soil metagenome. RNAcentral describes it as "partial contains 5.8S ribosomal RNA, internal transcribed spacer 2, and large subunit ribosomal RNA". The stretch from base 1 to 120 matches the Rfam family "5.8S ribosomal RNA", at positions 35 to 154 of the family's 154-position model. The record is from RNAcentral.